Podarcis lilfordi (Lilford's wall lizard) is the source of this 6489-nucleotide non-coding RNA. NCBI's taxonomy places the organism in Eukaryota, Metazoa, Chordata, Lepidosauria, Squamata, Lacertidae. The record is from the annotation of a GenBank genome assembly.
AUUAGGAUUAGGGUUAGGGUUAGGGUUAGGGUUAGGGUUUAGGGUUAGGGUUAGGGUUUAGGGGUUGGGGUUGGGGUUAGGGAUUAUUUAAAAAAAUUAUUUUUCCGCAAGUUAAGACGUCGAGGGUUUUUCCGAUGAUAAAAACCCUGUUGUUUCCACCGAAAAACCUUUCAGGGGAGCAUUUGCAACAGUUUGGCAGCAUUUUUGAGUGAAAUGCAGAACGUCAGAUUUUGGGUGAAAUUGUGACCAGCAGAAGCACAGCAGCUUAGGUCAGCUCCUUCUCACACGGAGCCAGGCACCAAUGAGGGAGCCUGCUGUGGGGUUACCUGUUUGUGCCCCCUGACACAAUUGUGCCCAGGGCCCACGGGGCCACAUUUGUGCCCCCAACAGCCCACACAUGCUACACUUCUGGGUGGGGACAAAACCAGAAUUACUGUAGUUGGCUCCAUCCAUGGGCAUAGCCAGGAUUUUUGUUAGUGGGGGCAGGCCUUUUGUUGGUGGGUGCAGAACGUCAGUUAGCUAUGUAUUUUUAUUUAUUUUUAUUUAUUUGGCCCCCCCUUGGCUACACCCAUGGUUCCAUCUAUCAUAACAUUUUGGAAAUGCCCUGACCCACCCACCCCAACACUGAUGUUGAUUUUCUGAGAUAUCAGGCGCUCAAGCACAAGUCAUACAUAAAGAAUCGCUGCUGUUUCUUUUUGUGUAGCCUGUUUAGACUGGAAAUUUGCCUCAGUUUUUUAUUCUCUAAGGAAGGUUCUGUAAAGUGCAGGAUAAUGUAGUAGCUCACAGCAUGACAGGAUGAUCCCAAGAAGCUCAGUUAGUUGGGGACAUGGGCAUAGCCAGGGGGUGAAGCAGCCACCCCUAAAUCAAGUAAAUAAACAAAAAUACAGAGAGUCUGAUAUUCCAGAUGUAAUCACACUUCUUCCUUAGAGCAGCCUCCUAUUCAUUUAUUUCUUGUUGAAAGAUUGUUGAAAGAAGUGUUUUGCAGAAACUAGCAACAACUUUAUAUAUCAAGAAGACACAUGUAGUUCAUAGUAACUGUCUUUCAGGGCAGUUUGUCUAGUAACAAAAGCAACUGUUGCUAUGAACACUGACUAGUCACUAGAAUAAUAAGAUGAAAGCUGGAGGUGGGGUUCGGGGUGGGGUUAGUCUUUCUUUAAACAAACAUGUAAGUAUGGAUGCCAAGAAGAAGAAGAAGUAAGACAAGCGUUUCUGUGGGGGAGGGAGUUUAUUGACUGCUCAGAUAUAAGACUCACAACAUCAUUUUAUAACCAAAGAAAGUGCCUUUAUGUGACCAUUAAAACAAAUCAACUGGAAUUACCGGUAUAUUCACAGAAAGCCUUUAGCAGAAUCAUUUCCUGUCCUCGGAAUCCAGCUGGAAGUGUUGGGUGAGCCGACUGCAUAAUCAAAAAGGCCAGUAAGUUACUGUGAGACAUACAGAGGAAGCUGUGUUCCUUUUCAAAUCUGUCUGUCAACAGUCACACACACCAAGCAAAAGCCACCCAUAACAGACGUUUUCCUUGAUAAAUGGGAGAACUGUCUGAUAAUCAACAACCAUAUAAUUUUAUCCAGUAGUAUUAGUUUGAUCUGACAGAAACUGCACAUUUCCCGAGAAGCACUGAAAGAAUGCUUCAUUUAACUACAAACCCCCAAAUCUGGGAUCCCAUCAAAACUGAUGUUUGGCAAAAGUUUUGCAGCAAAACCCCCACAUUUUGUAACACCCCAUAAACAGAGUAAUUGAUACAUCAAACCGGGGUUCAUAAUUAAUAUCCAAAACCCAACAUUGUCCGAUUCACUCCAAACUGGUGCCAAAGUCUGGCAAAAGAUUUGUAGCAUUUUGCCAGACAUUGUAGCAUUUUUGUAGCAUUUUGCCCGACAAACCAAGUAACUGACAGGGGUCAUAAGGUCACCCCAAAACCCAACAUCGUUCACUCCAAAUCAAGGCCAAAGUCUGGCAAAAUGGACUUCCGGGUUAGUGCGAACAGCUAAUGGCGGAUUCUCUCCGAGCUCCGGAGGGAAUCGGCUCCGCUGGGGACGGGUCUUGCCGCGACGGCGACGCGGAGACCCUCAAAAACCGCAGGCGCGGAUGCCUGCGGACCUGGUGACUCGGUGGGCACCUUAAGCGCCCCCGACCCACGAAGAGCCUUUUAAAGGCUACGGAGAGGGUACGGAAGGCGGCGUGGUGCUGGGAGUAGACCGCUACCCCAGCGGAGCGGAGCCGUGUGCCAUGGCUGAAGAGCACUGACUUUUUUCCUUAAAUUCGAACUCGAAAAGAAGCAACCCGUGAGUAGAUUGGAAUUCGGACUUUAAAAUAUCUAUCUGUGAAUUUGAUACGACCGGGGAUGUGUUAAAGGGAAGUCCGCACCCCCCCCUUCUGCAGACGAUUUAAAGCAAUAGCAGGAGAACUAAGUUGGAGAGUCUACCCCUUUGGGGUGAGUUAAAAAGACAUUAACUUUCACGAUUUGAUAAAAGAAGUUUUGAGCUGGAGUGUAAGAGUGGAAUUUUAGAAGUUUUCUCUUGUGGUGUGUAACCCCCCCCUUCCGGGCCCGGGAGCGUCCUGCCUUUGAGCCUGUUGAAGAGGAAAGGAGUUUGACAGCUGUUAAAGCUGUCAAACGGGCAAUUUAAAGUAAAAAGCGUGUUAUUUAAGAUCUCCCUGGACUAAAUGUGAUACAAUUGAAUUAAAGUGGUUCGAAACAAAGAAACAAAGAACGAGGCAAAGGACUGUUGGGAAAAGAUUACUAAGUAACCAGAUUCCCUCUAGGGGGAAUUCUGAGACAUUACAAUGGCUGCGGAUGGAAAUUUACUAGCUGAAAUAGAAAGAAUGUGUUACUUUGUGGGAACUUUACAAGAGCAGAGUCUGGCUAUGAAUAAACAACUUACGACCUUGACUUCUGGAAUAAGCAGCUCUGCUGAAUGUAUUGAGGAUCUGAAUGAGAAAAAUCUGCAGCUGAACCGGAACAGAUAUCUCAAGAAUUGAAGGAGACUAAACAAGGAAAGGAGAAAGCACAGAUGGAAAGUACCAACCAGAAGCCUACACAUGUGGAUUAUAAACAAGAAGACCCUUGGAUUACAUGGAUUACAAAUCUGCAAAAGAUGCGAAAGAUGAAGGAGGAGGCCCCUGGAGUACUUGGAAUUCAAGAACUUAAAAGAAAGAAGAAAUAUGAUGGGGGCCUCCAUUCUGAAUAUGAAGGACUGGUGGAACUUUUGCAGCAGUUGUCUCUAAGUUUUCUUGUGGGAAGAAAAUCUGGCUUGACUGGGACAGAACUCCUUCGAGAUCCGAAGACCAACAUAAAGGACUACCAACAAAACCGGCGGAGAGGGACUGAAAGAGACUUGAAGGCCUCGGAUGUGAGAAAUCCAGGCUAAGAACUGUUAUUGUAGAAAUGUACUUGGGAAGGGACGAACCGGGGAUGGGAGGGGGGGAAAAUAGAAUUUUAAAAACACUUACGAUUUUUGGGUCUAGUCAAUAUGAUUGAUGCUUAAUAAAAAUGGGAAAUCGAUGGAAGGGAAUCUGAGCCCAACUUAGGAUAGAAUUUAAUCUUCUACAAAAGAUGUAAUAUUAACAGGGUAAGGAGGUAAAAUAAUAACUUGCUGACAUAAUUAUGGGAAUUGGGAUGUAUGAAGGGGGGGUUGGGGGAAGUCAAGGACCAAAGUUAAGAAAGUAAGAUUUUUGAAAUUAUACAUGUUUUUUGUCUUUGUCUUUUACGUGUGUGUUAUGUCUUUAUAAAAUGUGAAAAACCAAUUAAAAAAUUAUAAAAAAAAAAAAAACAAAGUCUGGCAAAAUGUUUGCAGUAAAAACCGCAUGUUUUGCAGUGCCCCCCAAACGGAGUGGUUCCUAGCACAUCAGGAGGAAGAGUCAAGACAACCAAAAGUGGAUAAAUAGGUUGUAUUUAUUAAAUAUAACAACUUGAGGAUCGGCAAAACUAGUCAGAUUCGACCAAUGUAACCAAAUCAAAUUAAGUCUGGGCAGGUGUGCUUGUUCACCUCCACCCACAAACACACAAGUGCUCAAACAGAGCUCUUUGCAGAUCCUUAAGAAUCAUGUCACAACCCAAAUCAGAAAGAUGCAUACCACCAGGUCUAUACAACUGUGGGGCACAGAACAUAAUUCUGCCAUGAGGGAUAUAAGCAGCCACAUUUUCAAACACAAACGUCGUUGUAGAAUGAUUAGCUUUAUGUCUUGCCCAUCCACCUUCUUAGGAAGGCUGCCCCCACUCCAUAAGCACCUCUACAACAUUCCAAACCAAACUAUGAUAAGCUCAGGGAUGAGGAAGCACAGCUGAUGGAGAUAUUUAGUGAUCUCAACUGAAUUUACCUCACCAGAUUGUUAUCCCCAAGAUGGAUGACCAGAAUAUCAGGGUUAGGGCAGGGGAUAGGUGGAUGUUCAGGGUUAGGGUUAGUGCCUGGGGUUUUUUUCAUGCUUUUUAAGCUUCUAAUGAUAUUGCUUCAUUUUUAUGAGACUGGAUAAUUCCAAAAAAUAAGCAAACUACCUGAAACGUAGCAAAACUAAGAGAAAUGUGAAAACCAAAAGUGAGAUACCAGAAACCCAACAAGGAAGGAAUUCAUGAAAAAGGAAAAUUGCCAGACAGAGACUUCAAUCAAAUCAUAUCCAAAUUCACCAGAAUCCCAAAACCAAUUGAAAAGAAGCAGAAAUGUGAGAAGCAGAAGAAAUACCACCAGAAACCCCCAACAAGAGGGAAAAGGUAAAUUGCGCAGAAACCCCAAAGCCAGUUAAACCUUAGUUUUGCAUGGUGUGGGGGUGAUUUCGCCUUUCCCUGAGAUGUUUACUGCGUGGGUUUCUUGUGGUUCUAUUCAAUUGGUUUUCUCAUCUUUGGUGGAUGUGGUUUGUUUCUGUUGUUUCUGGUUUGUUUUGGGGAUUAUGUUGAAUUUUUUCUGUGGUUUUCGUUUCAUAGAUUCUUUUAUAUAAAUUACGAUUGUGAAAUAUACUCAGAGUCUUGUAUGUAUUUCAUGCUCUUUAUUGCCCCCCCCCAACCUCAGGCUUUUAUAUACAUUAUUUACACAAUGAGUCCCGUCUGACUGGCUAACUCUGCUUCCCUCUUGGAGCCUGAUUGGCCUGCAGGAAAAGACCAAUCAGUUGUUGCAUUCUAGGGUCCAAGGUUAAUACAUAACAGAUUGGGUGCUGGAUUUAUGGUGAGUUUGCUUCAUUUCUAGGUUUUUUGGGUUUUGAACCUUUGAGAAUAUUAAUUUGUAUGAGAUCUGAUAAUCCCAAGAAAAAAAGGAAAACCACCAGAAAUGAAGCAAAACCACCAGAAAUGUCUAAUGACCAUUCCAACAAUGAAGUCAACCACUAAAAACACAAAAACCUACUGAAAAGAAGCAGAAGAACCAUGUAAAAGCAACAUCAAUGGAAACUGACAAAGAAGCCAACCAAUCCCAAACAAAGCAGAUUCACCAGAAACCCCCAAAGCAUUCAAAAGUAUUACCACCAGAAUGCAAAAACAAGAAAACUUCUCAAAAGAAGCAAUAAGGCAAAAGUCCAAAAACAAGCUAAACCAAUGGAAAAGAAAUGAAGCCAGCUGCAAACGAAGCACAUUCACCAGAAACCCAAGACUAUGUGAAAACUAGUAUGCUAUGUUGGUUAAUUUCUGUUGCUUGAAGUGCUUUUGGACUCCCAUAAAUUGCAUGCUUGUUGAGUUUCUGGUUUUGCUUUUUAAAAACUGGUUUCCAGUUUCUUGUGGCAUUGCUUUGUAAUUGGUGGCUUUACUGCUUCUUUUUUGUUUUCUGCUGAUUUGUUUAAUUUGGGGUGGUUUUGCUUGUUUUUUUGCAUUUAAUUGUUUUGCUUCUUUUACUUUGAAUGGUUCUGCGGUUUUGGGUGAGAUUGUUUCUUUUCCAUUGAUUUGGCUUGGUUUUCAUGUCUCCUGGUUUUGCCUCAUUUUGGGAAUAUUUCUUGGUUUUUGUGCUUCUGGUGGUAUUUCUUCAAUUUUAUGACAUAACCAAGCCAAAACACCAGAAACACAGAAACAAAUCAUAAAGAAGCAGAGCUACCAGAAAUCCAAAGCAAAUUAAUCAGAAAUCCAAACAACCUAUGAAGAUGAUGCAAUACCAAAAGAAACACAAAAGCCAAUUAAAAAACUGCUAAAUGAAGCAACACCACAAGAAACAAAGAAAGCCUCAUAACCUACGAAAUGAAGCAAUAACACAAAACACCACAAAAAGAAGCAAAGCGUUUAGGAUUAGGUUUGGGUAAAGGUUAGGGUUACAGUGAGAGUUGGGUUUGAGUUGGAUUAGGAUUAGGAGUUAGAGUUGGGGUUGAGUUACGGUAAGAGAAGAACAGCAGCAGAAGAAAUAUAAUUUUAUUACUUAGGGUUAGGGUUAAAUUAGGUUUAGGUUUAGACUGAGGCUUAGGUUUGGGUUAAGGUUAGGGUUAGAGUGAGGAUUAGGUUUGAGUUAGGGUGAGCAUUAGGAUUAAGGUUUGGUAUUGGGUUGGAUUUGAGUUAGGCUAAGAGAACAGCAGCAGGAGCAAUAUAAUUU